UAGGGAAUCUUCGGCAAUGGACGAAAGUCUGACCGAGCAACGCCGCGUGAGUGAAGAAGGUUUUCGGAUCGUAAAACUCUGUUGUUAGAGAAGAACAAGGACGUUAGUAACUGAACGUCCCCUGACGGUAUCUAACCAGAAAGCCACGGCUAACUACGUGCCAGCAGCCGCGGUAAUACGUAGGUGGCAAGCGUUGUCCGGACUUAUUGGGCGUAAAGCGGCCGCAGGCGGUUUCUUAAGUCUGAUGUGAAAGCCCCAGGCUCAACCGGGGAGGGUCAUUGGGAACUGGGAGACUUGAGUGCAGGAGAGGAGAGUGGAAUUCCAGGGGGAGCGGUGAAAUGCGUAGAUAUAAGGAGGAACACCAGUGGCGAAGGCGGCUCUCUGGUCUGUAACUGACGCUGAGGCUCGAAAGCGUGGGGAGCAAACAGG
This 429-nucleotide ribosomal RNA is filed under the name Gemmatimonadota bacterium. RNAcentral describes it as "Gemmatimonadetes bacterium partial 16S ribosomal RNA". It matches the Rfam family "Bacterial small subunit ribosomal RNA", at positions 355 to 776 of the family's 1533-position model. Lineage: Bacteria; Pseudomonadati; Gemmatimonadota. The record is from RNAcentral.